RNAcentral lists this ribosomal RNA (893 nucleotides) under Dickeya dadantii. RNAcentral describes it as "partial 23S ribosomal RNA". It matches the Rfam family "Bacterial large subunit ribosomal RNA", at positions 657 to 1549 of the family's 2925-position model. Lineage: Bacteria; Pseudomonadati; Pseudomonadota; Gammaproteobacteria; Enterobacterales; Pectobacteriaceae. The record is from RNAcentral.
AUAGGGGAGCCGCAGGGAAACCGAGUCUUAACUGGGCGUUAAGUUGCAGGGUAUAGACCCGAAACCCGGUGAUCUAGCCAUGGGCAGGUUGAAGGUUGGGUAACACUAACUGGAGGACCGAACCGACUAAUGUUGAAAAAUUAGCGGAUGACUUGUGGCUGGGGGUGAAAGGCCAAUCAAACCGGGAGAUAGCUGGUUCUCCCCGAAAGCUAUUUAGGUAGCGCCUCGUGAAUUCAUCUUCGGGGGUAGAGCACUGUUUCGGCUAGGGGGCCAUCCCGGCUUACCAACCCGAUGCAAACUGCGAAUACCGAAGAAUGUUAUCACGGGAGACACACGGCGGGUGCUAACGUCCGUCGUGAAGAGGGAAACAACCCAGACCGCCAGCUAAGGUCCCAAAGUCAUGGUUAAGUGGGAAACGAUGUGGGAAGGCCCAGACAGCCAGGAUGUUGGCUUAGAAGCAGCCAUCAUUUAAAGAAAGCGUAAUAGCUCACUGGUCGAGUCGGCCUGCGCGGAAGAUGUAACGGGGCUAAAACCAUGCACCGAAGCUGCGGCAGCGACGCUCAGGCGUUGUUGGGUAGGGGAGCGUUCUGUAAGCCGUUGAAGGUGGCCUGUGAGGGCUGCUGGAGGUAUCAGAAGUGCGAAUGCUGACAUAAGUAACGAUAAUGCGGGUGAAAAACCCGCACGCCGGAAGACCAAGGGUUCCUGUCCAACGUUAAUCGGGGCAGGGUGAGUCGACCCCUAAGGCGAGGCUGAAAAGCGUAGUCGAUGGGAAACAGGUUAAUAUUCCUGUACUUGGUGUUACUGCGAAGGGGGGACGGAGAAGGCUAUGUCAUCCGGGCGACGGUUGUCCCGGUUUAAGCGUGCAGGUGGGUGGACCAGGCAAAUCCGGUCUG